GUGAAAUCCGACGGGCGUUGCAACGCGACCGAUGCAACUGUCCGCGCGCAAUAACAAUACCGGUGCCGGCUAAUGGAUAUUAUCCGUUGCGCGAAAUAUCGUUAUCGUCGCGGCCGGAGGGCGUAUAAAUAUUAUUAUUAUUAUUAUUAUUAUCGACGAUAACGACGGUUAUUCGUUUUUCAUUUUUUUUUUUUCCAUAGAUAUUUAGAUACGACAUAACGUAAAACAUUGUAAUCCGUGCGUUCUGUGGUUUACGCUCGUUUUGCUGUAUGAAAACCGUGUAUUUGUAUAUAGAAACACUAUAUCUACGUAAUAAUAUUAUCAUGUCACAAAAAUUGUAAAUACAUUCGGUUAUUUACGCAAACCUCUGCCCAAAACACUUUAUACAAUAAUUGUUCGCCCGACUUGAUUUUAUUAGUUAACCGUGCCUAAUGGAUAUUAUAAUAUGUACUGUGUAAACGGAAUUUACGAGUCGACUAGAUUUGAUUUUUUUUUAUUAUUAUUAUUAUUAGUAAUAUAAGAACUAUUGUAUCGGUAUAAAACAUAAUAAAUAUAAUAUAGAGCAUGUUAUAUUGUAUACAUAUUUGUGGAAAAAUAAAAA
Molecule: non-coding RNA, 601 nt
Organism: Cinara cedri
Lineage: Eukaryota; Metazoa; Arthropoda; Insecta; Hemiptera; Aphididae
Source: the annotation of a GenBank genome assembly